This 1567-nucleotide ribosomal RNA is filed under the name Triticum aestivum (bread wheat). Its description in RNAcentral is "partial small subunit ribosomal RNA". The record is from RNAcentral. Lineage: Eukaryota; Viridiplantae; Streptophyta; Magnoliopsida; Poales; Poaceae.
CUCAGGCUCAACUCAGCUCAGCUCAGCUCACUGGUAGUACGUGGCUGCAGUGCAGACUGCAGAGACGGAAGAGUUCACCCGUCACUCGCUAGCUAUCUCCUUUCAGUCGAGUCACCGGCUCACCGCCAUGGCGCUUAGCCUCCGGGCCGCCGCGUCCCUCGCCUCUCCGCCGUCAGGCGCACGCCCCGGCCGACGCGCCGCCUCGGUGGUCCGCGCCACAGCGUCCCCUGCGGCGAGAGCAGAACGUCUCCGGCGAGUUCUUCGUCGACCACCGGUGCAUCGACUGCGCCAUCUGCCGGUGGAUGGCGCCGGAGGUGUUCAAGAGGGUGGACGGCAUGUCCGCCGUGGCAGCGCAGCCCAGCUUCGAGGAGGAGAGGACCAAGGCACUGCAGGCUUUGCUCUCUUGCCCAACAGCCUCCAUCCACACCGACAAGCCCGCGAAGGACAUUCUCCAAGUGCAGAACACGUUCCCGCUCCCCAUCAACGACGAUCUUCCUGGUGUUUACCUUUGCGGUUACCAUUCGGAGUCCUCAUAUGGAGCAACAUCAUAUCUCAUAGUCCACCCAGAAGGAAACAUAAUGGUUGACAGUCCAAGGUAUACGCCGAGACUGGUGGACAAGAUUGAGAAGCUCGGUGGAGCGCGCUACAUAUUUUUGACCCACAUUGAUGAUGUAGCGGAUCAUCGGAAGUGGGCCGAGCGGUUGAAAUGCGAGAGAAUCAUCCAUUUAGGAGAUGUAGUGGACAUUACUGCUGAUGUCGAGUGGAAACUUACUGGAAGUGGUCCCUGGAACAUUGGAAAUGAUUUUGAACUUAUCCAUACCCCAGGCCAUACUGAAGUAAGAAACCCAACUCAAUGAAUAGAAUUAUGCUUGUAUAUUGUUCUUUGGAUAGACAAGAUGGAUGGAUGGUAAUGUUGUCAUUAAUUCUUUUGGUCAUUUUAGCAAUAAUUAUCUUGCACCAUACUGAUCUUUUCCUACACAUCUAAGGUAAGAUUCACUCAUGAAAAUGAAAACAUUUCAUGUAGGGCUCGGUCUGCUUGUUGUACAAACCACUAAAGGCGCUAUUCACUGGCGACCAUGUCGCAAAAUCAGAAUAUUCAGACGAACUGAAUCUCUUUCGGAUGUACAGCAAGCAAUCAGUGAAUUUGCAACUGGAUAGUAUGAGGAAGUUACUGGACCUAGAUUUUGAGUGGUAUUUACCUGGGCAUGGCUAUCGAAUCCGGUAUGAAAAUGUACAGGCCAAAAAUGCAGCUAUUGAGUCUCUCCUAGCUAACUACAAAAACUAAGGCGCAUCUUGUGAUCACAUGCUUCCCAAAUAAGGAUUCCAGAAUAAAGGGACCAGGUUGAUAUGAAGUCCCAGUGUCCAACGAAAUAAUGAUCGAUGCUUUUACAUUUUGUCCAAACAUCAUGUAUUGUGGUACUUCAUAUCUCUCUCCAAGAUGUACAAGGCAUGGGUAUCCUUAUAUCAAAUUAGUAAUAUUAUUGGAUCAUCCUGCAAAAGAAAAUAUAUUUGCUUGCAGCAGAUUGUACAAGCAAGGAAAUCAUUCAGUCACUUUAGUAGAUCAAGC